GACCGAACGCCGCCGAGUCGUGUCCGCCACCUGCGGGCGCGAGCCGGGGACCCACCGCAGUACUGGGGUGAAUCCCACCCGCGAGUCCCACUCGCGGGCCGGUAGGGCUGCUUCCCGCCCGAACCCGUCAGCUAACUCGGUAGGCGGCUCACGGAAGAACG
Molecule: small RNA, 161 nt
Filed under: Geodermatophilus obscurus
Lineage: Bacteria; Bacillati; Actinomycetota; Actinomycetes; Geodermatophilales; Geodermatophilaceae
Also listed under: 1 other name
Description: c-di-AMP sequence
Rfam family: c-di-AMP riboswitch aptamer (ydaO/yuaA leader)
About the family: This family represents a conserved RNA structure found upstream of the ydaO and yuaA genes in Bacillus subtilis and related genes in other bacteria. The ydaO/yuaA element is thought to act as a genetic "off" switch for the ydaO and yuaA genes in its native state.
Source: RNAcentral